Molecule: long non-coding RNA, 345 nt
Filed under: Capsella rubella
Lineage: Eukaryota; Viridiplantae; Streptophyta; Magnoliopsida; Brassicales; Brassicaceae
Description: long non-coding RNA (CRUB_LNC001680)
Source: RNAcentral
AAGUGCAAGUUUAGAUGGUAUUUAUAGCAGUCAUUAGGUAAGAUUUGCCUUGGUCAGCAAGAUGGUAUUAUGAAAGAAUAUUCGCAUGGUGAUUUAAGAUUUGUUUUGGUAAAUUUUUAUUGAAAUUCGAGAUUUUAUCACUUUACACUAACAAAUAUAUAAUUUCCAUUUAUUGACGAUUUUACAUGCCUAACAAAAAAAAAAGAACAAAUAAUUUGGUUUGUAAAAAAUCUUCAAGUUCCUAAAUAUCUUAUAGAUAUAUUCUACACUAACAAAUAUAAAUUUAAAAUCGUCAAUAAAUGGAAGUUAUGUGUUUGUCGAGAUAUUCUAAAGGAUUAAUUUUUG